ACAGUAACUGACGCUGAGGCGCGAAAAGCGUGGGGAGCGAACAGGAUUAGAUACCGUGGUAGUCCACGCCGUAAACGAUGGAUACUAGGUGUAGGAGGUAUCGACCCGUUCUGUGCCGGAGUUAACACAUUAAGUAUCCCACCUGGGGAAUACGACCGCAAGGUUGAAACUCAAAGGAAUUGACGGGGGCCCGCACAAGCAGUGGAGUAUGUGGUUUAAUUCGAAGCAACGCGAAGAACCUUACCAGGGCUUGACAUCCGUUGACAGCUCUAGAGAUAGAGUUUCCCUUCGGGGCAAGGAGACAGGUGGUGCAUGGUUGUCGUCAGCUCGUGUCGUGAGAUGUUGGGUUUAAGUCCCGUAACGAGCGCAACCCUUAUUGUUAGUUGCCAGCAAGUUAAAGUUGGGCACUCUAACGAGACUGCCGGUGAUAAAUUGGAGGAAGGUGGGGAUGACGUUCAAAAUCAAUCAUCCCCUUUAUGUCCUGGGUUACACACGUAUUACAAUGGCUGUACAGAGGGAGCUAACCCGCGAGUGGACCCAAUCCCCAAAACCGUCCCCAGUUCGGAUGCAGACUGCAAUUGCCUGCAUGAAAGUGGAAUUGCUAGUAAUGNCAGUCAGCAUACUGCCGU
Molecule: ribosomal RNA, 629 nt
Filed under: uncultured organism
Description: bacterial SSU rRNA
Rfam family: Bacterial small subunit ribosomal RNA
Source: RNAcentral